GGAGAAGUCCCAACCCCACAUCGUGCCUAUGAGCGAAGCUCCACACUUCAGACAUCGCAAUCAUGUUCCAGCAAAGGAUGGCCCACAAAUCGCAGCUUACAAACCUCCAAAUUACCCUCUGCUAGGAGCAUGUGGAUUCUGCCACAAGCAAAUGAUUCCUUGUAACAUGGAUAUGGAUUAGGAUCAUGUUUAGAUGUGGAGAGGUAAUUGACUAACUGCCUGCAAAACAAUCAUGUUUCGAUGGAGCCAUGGCAUGUCUCGCG
Molecule: long non-coding RNA, 263 nt
Filed under: Physcomitrium patens
Lineage: Eukaryota; Viridiplantae; Streptophyta; Bryopsida; Funariales; Funariaceae
Description: long non-coding RNA (PPAT_LNC007959)
Source: RNAcentral